Molecule: non-coding RNA, 84 nt
Organism: Cordylochernes scorpioides
Lineage: Eukaryota; Metazoa; Arthropoda; Arachnida; Pseudoscorpiones; Chernetidae
Source: the annotation of a GenBank genome assembly
UGUCCAGGAAUGGGAAUCGAACUCACAGUGUUCCGCUUAUUCCGCUUACCGGGCAGAUGCCAUGUCCACUAGGCUACCCUAGAC